Molecule: ribosomal RNA, 468 nt
Filed under: uncultured bacterium
Lineage: Bacteria
Description: partial 16S ribosomal RNA
Rfam family: Bacterial small subunit ribosomal RNA
Source: RNAcentral
GACGAACGCUGGCGGCGUGCUUAACACAUGCAAGUCGAACGGAAAGGCCCUGCUUUUGUGGGGUGCUCGAGUGGCGAACGGGUGAGUAACACGUGAGUAACCUGCCCUUGACUUUGGGAUAAAUUCAGGAAACUGGGGCUAAUACCGGAUAGGAGCUCCUGCUGCAUGGUGGGGGUUGGAAAGUUUCGGCGGUUGGGGAUGGACUCGCGGCUUAUCAGCUUGUUGGUGGGGUAGUGGCUUACCAAGGCUUUGACGGGUAGCCGGCCUGAGAGGGUGACCGGCCACAUUGGGACUGAGAUACGGCCCAGACUCCUACGGGAGGCAGCAGUGGGGAAUAUUGCACAAUGGGCGGAAGCCUGAUGCAGCAACGCCGCGUGCGGGAUGACGGCCUUUGGGUUGUAAACCGCUUUCGCCUGUGACGAAGCGUGAGUGACGGUAAUGGGUAAAGAAGCACCGGCUAACUACGUG